AGUUGCUUACGUGAGCAGAAGUAGUUCUGGUCGUCGUCUACCGUCUCGCUAUAGCCGUUUGAGGGAAGAAGGAGGAAAAUUAUCCAGUAUCGUUAGAGCUACACCGAGAUUGCAUCGAGCCAAGCUUGCCACCAAGAGCCCAACAGUCACCAUGAUGCUGAGCACAGAAGGCAGGGAGGGGUUCGUGGUGAAGGUCAGGGGCCUACCCUGGUCCUGCUCAGCUGAUGAAGUGAUGCGCUUCUUUUCCGAUUGUAAAAUCCAAACUGGCACAUCAGGUAUCCGUUUCAUCUACACCAGAGAAGGCAGACCAAGUGGUGAAGCAUUUGUCGAACUUGAAUCCGAAGAUGAAGUGAAAUUGGCUUUGAAGAAGGACAGAGAAACCAUGGGACACAGAUACGCUGAAGUUUUCGAGGCCAACAGUGUUGAAAUGGACUGGGUGUUGAAGCAUACAGGUCCGAAUAGUCCUGACACCGCCAAUGAUGGCUUCGUCCAGCUUCGAGGACUCCCGUUUGGCUGUAGCAAGGAAGAGAUUUGUUCAGUUCUUUUCUGGGUUGGAAAUUGUGCCAAAUGGGAUGACACUGCCGGUGGACUUUCAGGGGCGGAGCACAGGGGAGGCGUUUGUGCAGUUUGCUUCCCAGGAGAUAGCUGAGAAGGCCUUAAAGAAACACAAGGAAAGAAUAGGGCAUAGGUACACUGAAAUCUUCAAGAGUAGCAGAGCUGAAGUCCGAACCCACUACGACCCCCCUCGAAAGCUCAUGGCCAUGCAGCGGCCAGGUCCCCAUGAUAGGCCGGGGGCUGGCAGAGGGUAUAAUAGCAUUGGCAGAGGGGCAAGGUUUGAAAGGAUGAGGCGUGGUGCCUACGGUGGAGGGUACGGAGGCUAUGGCGACUAUGCUGGCUAUAAUGAUGGGUAUGGCUUUCGGUCGGAUAGAUUCGGAAGAGACCUCAAUUACUGUUUUUCAGGAAUGUCUGUCUGAUCAUAGAUAUGGAGAUGGUGGGUCCAGUUUCCAGAGCACCACAGGGCACUGUGUACACGUGAGGGGAUUACCUUACAGAGCCACUGAGAAUGAUAUUUACAAUUUUUUCUCACCUCUUAACCCCAUGAGAGUGCACAUUGAAAUCGGACCUGAUGGCCGAGUUACUGGUGAGGCAGAUGUUGAAUUUGCUACCCGUGCACAUGCCGUGGCAGCAAUGGCAAAAGACAAAGCUAAUAUGCAACACAGAUAUGUGGAGCUCUUCUUGAAUUCUACUGCAGGAACAAGUGGGGGCGCAUAUGAUCACAGCUAUGUAGAACUCUUUUUGAAUUCUACAGCAGGGGCAAGUGGCGGUGCUUAUGGUAGUCAAAUGAUGGGAGGGAUGGGCUUGUCCAACCAGUCUAGUUAUGGGGGUCCUGCUAGUCAGCAGCUGAGUGGUGGCUACAGAGGUGGUUAUGGUGGUCAGAGCAGUAUGAGUGGAUACGACCAAGUUCUGCAGGAAAACUCCAGUGACUAUCAGUCAAACCUCGCUUAGGUGAAGGAACACUAAACACCUAUUACAGAAAUAAAAGCCCUGCAUUUAUGGGAGUUGUAGAAUGAGAGUGAUGUUUAGUAUAUCCAGUAUGAUUGGUAAAUGGGAAAUAUCAUUGAUUCUGAUCACUCUUGGUCAGCUUUCUCUUUUCUUUCUUUCUUUCUUUCUUUUUUUUUAAGAAAACAAAAAUUAAGUUCAACAGUUUUGCAUUACAGGCUUGUGAUUCAUGCUUACUGUAAAGUGGAAGUCAAGGUUUUACAACUUCAAGCUCAGUAAUUUUGAACACUGAAACAUUCAUCUAGGGUAUAAUAACAACAACGGUCAGUAUUGACCAUAACUGUUAAAACAAUUUUAAGCUUUCUUCAAGUUAGUUACAUUGUAGGAGUGUACCUAAGCAGUAAGAGUAUUUAGGUUAAAGCAGUUUCACUUAUGUUAAAUGUUGCUCUUAUACCACAAUACAUUGAAAACUUUGGAUGCAUGUUGAGAAACAUGCUUUUCUGUAAAACUCAAAUAUAGGAGCUGUGUCUGCGAUUCAAAGUGAAAACAUUUGGCAUGUUUGUUAAUUCUAGCUUUUUGGCUUAAUAUCCUGUAAGGCACAUGAGUGUACACUUUUACUUUUUUUUUUUUUAACGAUCUGGGACAAUUUUGAGAUGUAAUACCAAUACCUUAGGAGUUUGGUCAUGUCGUUUGUAUGAGAUUCUGAGGCUUUGAUUUAAAUCUUUCCUUGUGAUUUCCAUUAGAUGUAUUGUACUAAGUGAAACUUGUUAAAUAAAUCUUCCUUUUAAA
Molecule: RNA transcript, 2289 nt
Organism: Odobenus rosmarus divergens (Pacific walrus)
Lineage: Eukaryota; Metazoa; Chordata; Mammalia; Carnivora; Odobenidae
Gene name: heterogeneous nuclear ribonucleoprotein H2-like
Exons: 2
Source: RefSeq, a predicted model, not a curated record